AUACCAUGGUGAGGACAACAUCGAAGUAAUUCUUCAUAUCUUCCCUAAGCCUCAUACAACGAUUCAAAAUCUUGCUGCAAGAAUGAUGUGAUAUCAUUCCUCAUUUU
This 107-nucleotide small nucleolar RNA is filed under the name Theobroma cacao (cacao). RNAcentral describes it as "Plant small nucleolar RNA R71". It matches the Rfam family "Plant small nucleolar RNA R71". Rfam says of the family: R71 is a member of the C/D box family of snoRNAs containing the C (UGAUGA) and D (CUGA) box motifs. Multiple nearly identical copies of this snoRNA have been identified in Arabidopsis, and it is thought to function as a 2'-O-ribose methylation guide for 18S ribosomal RNA. The record is from Rfam by way of RNAcentral. Lineage: Eukaryota; Viridiplantae; Streptophyta; Magnoliopsida; Malvales; Malvaceae.